GCCUUCGUGAUGUAGUGGUCAGCACGCUCGACGCGCAUUCGAGAUGUCCGUGGUUCGAAUCCCGGCAAGGGCA
RNAcentral lists this transfer RNA (73 nucleotides) under Stegodyphus mimosarum. It matches the Rfam family "tRNA". Rfam says of the family: Transfer RNA (tRNA) molecules are approximately 80 nucleotides in length. Their secondary structure includes four short double-helical elements and three loops (D, anti-codon, and T loops). Lineage: Eukaryota; Metazoa; Arthropoda; Arachnida; Araneae; Eresidae. The record is from Rfam by way of RNAcentral.